AGUGAACGCUGGCGGCGUGGCUUAGGCAUGCAAGUCGAGCGCGAAAGUACCUUCGGGUAUGAGUAGAGCGGCGUAAGGGUGAGUAAUGUAUAGGCAACGUACCCCUUGGACCGGGAUAGCUGCGGGAAACGUAGCAGGUAAUAACCGGAUGGUCAAGCGAUGUGGCAUCACGAUGCUUGUAAACGGUUGGAUACUUCUGCCGAGGGAGCGGCCUAUGCCCUAUUAGCUAGUUGGUGAGGUAAUGGCUCACCAAGGCAACGAUGGGUAGCCGGACUGAGAGGUUGGCCGGUCACACUGGGACUGAGACACUGCCCAGACUCCUACGGGAGGCUGCAGUCGAGAAUCUUCCGCAAUGGACGCAAGUCUGACGGGGCGACGCCGCGUGUAGGAUGAAGGCCCUCGGGUUGUAAACUACUGUUGCGCACUAGGAAAGUGUGAGGUUAAUAGCCUUGCACCUGACCAAUGCGUGAGGAAGCACUGGCUAACUCCGUG
This 492-nucleotide ribosomal RNA is filed under the name uncultured bacterium. Its description in RNAcentral is "bacterial SSU rRNA". It matches the Rfam family "Bacterial small subunit ribosomal RNA", at positions 29 to 507 of the family's 1533-position model. The record is from RNAcentral.